GCCCCGGCUAACUACGUGCCAGCAGCCGCGGUAAUACGUAGGGGGCUAGCGUUAUCCGGAUUUACUGGGCGUAAAGGGUGCGUAGGUGGUCUUUCAAGUCAGUGGUUAAAGCCUACGGCUCAACCGUAGUCAGCCUCUGAAACUGGAAGACUUGAGUGCAGGAGAGGAAAGUGGAAUUCCCAGUGUAGCGGUGAAAUGCGUAGAUAUUGGGAGGAACACCAGUAGCGAAGGCGGCUUUCUGGACUGCAACUGACACUGAGGCACGAAAGCGUGGGUAGCAAACAGGAUUAGAUACCCUGGUAGUCCACGCCGUAAACGAUGAGUACUAGGUGUCGGGGGUUACCCCCUCGGUGCCGCAGCUAACGCAUUAAGUACUCCGCCUGGGGAGUACGCACGCA
RNAcentral lists this ribosomal RNA (398 nucleotides) under uncultured bacterium. Its description in RNAcentral is "bacterial SSU rRNA". It matches the Rfam family "Bacterial small subunit ribosomal RNA", at positions 490 to 890 of the family's 1533-position model. The record is from RNAcentral.